CCUACGGGUGGCUGCAGUGAGGAAUAUUGGUCAAUGGGCGAGAGCCUGAACCAGCCAAGUCGCGUGAAGGAUGACGGUCCUAUGGGUUGUAAACCUCUUUUGUCAGGGAGCAAUUCGGUGCACGCGUGGGCUUAGCGAGAGUACCCGAAGAAUAAGCAUCGGCUAACUCCGUGCCAGCAGCCGCGGUAAUACGUAGGGUGCAAGCGUUGUCCGGAUUUACUGGGUGUAAAGGGUGCGUAGCCGGGUUGACUAGUCAGGUGUGAAAUCCUGCGGCUUAACCGCAGGACGGCAUUUGAAACUGGUGAUCUUGAGUACUGGAGAGGCAGAUGGAAUGCGUGGUGUAGCGGUGAAAUGCGUAGAUAUUAGGAGGAACACCAGUGGCGAAGGCAGUCUACUGGACAGCAACUGACGGUGAGGCACGAAAGCGUGGGGAGCGAACAGGAUUAGAUACCCGGGUAGUC
RNAcentral lists this ribosomal RNA (461 nucleotides) under uncultured bacterium. Its description in RNAcentral is "partial 16S ribosomal RNA". It matches the Rfam family "Bacterial small subunit ribosomal RNA", at positions 338 to 795 of the family's 1533-position model. The record is from RNAcentral.